UUACAUACCGGAACAGGGUUUAUGACAGAUCAAGAAGGGUCGUGGCCUAGAUCAACGACUCACAUUGCACUUGGCGAGAGUGUUGGUCUAUCAUCUCCCCAAUUGGGAGAAUGGAUGUCAAAAUUUAUGGUAGAGAGGGUAUGCACUCGGCAUCCCGUG
RNAcentral lists this small nuclear RNA (159 nucleotides) under Triticum aestivum (bread wheat). RNAcentral describes it as "snRNA U1". It matches the Rfam family "U1 spliceosomal RNA". Rfam says of the family: U1 is a small nuclear RNA (snRNA) component of the spliceosome (involved in pre-mRNA splicing). Its 5' end forms complementary base pairs with the 5' splice junction, thus defining the 5' donor site of an intron. There are significant differences in sequence and secondary structure between metazoan and yeast U1 snRNAs, the latter being much longer (568 nucleotides as compared to 164 nucleotides in human). RNAcentral also lists the same sequence under 1 other name. Lineage: Eukaryota; Viridiplantae; Streptophyta; Magnoliopsida; Poales; Poaceae. The record is from Rfam by way of RNAcentral.